Molecule: ribosomal RNA, 207 nt
Filed under: uncultured bacterium
Lineage: Bacteria
Description: partial 16S ribosomal RNA
Rfam family: Bacterial small subunit ribosomal RNA
Source: RNAcentral
AGCGCAGGCGGGAAGACAAGUUGGAAGUGAAAUCCAUGGGCUCAACCCAUGAACUGCUUUCAAAACUGUUUUUCUUGAGUAGUGCAGAGGUAGGCGGAAUUCCCGGUGUAGCGGUGGAAUGCGUAGAUAUCGGGAGGAACACCAGUGGCGAAGGCGGCCUACUGGUCACCAACUGACGCUGAGGCUCGAAAGUGUGGGUAGCAAACA